AAAUUGAAGAGUUUGAUCAUGGCUCAGAUUGAACGCUGGCGGCAGGCCUAACACAUGCAAGUCGAACGGUAACAGGAAGCAGCUUGCUGCUUCGCUGACGAGUGGCGGACGGGUGAGUAAUGUCUGGGAAACUGCCUGAUGGAGGGGGAUAACUACUGGAAACGGUGGCUAAUACCGCAUAACGUCGCAAGACCAAAGAGGGGGACCUUCGGGCCUCUUGCCAUCAGAUGUGCCCAGAUGGGAUUAGCUUGUUGGUGAGGUAACGGCUCACCAAGGCGACGAUCCCUAGCUGGUCUGAGAGGAUGACCAGCCACACUGGAACUGAGACACGGUCCAGACUCCUACGGGAGGCAGCAGUGGGGAAUAUUGCACAAUGGGCGCAAGCCUGAUGCAGCCAUGCCGCGUGUAUGAAGAAGGCCUUCGGGUUGUAAAGUACUUUCAGCGGGGAGGAAGGUGUUGUGGUUAAUAACCACAGCAAUUGACGUUACCCGCAGAAGAAGCACCGGCUAACUCCGUGCCAGCAGCCGCGGUAAUACGGAGGGUGCAAGCGUUAAUCGGAAUUACUGGGCGUAAAGCGCACGCAGGCGGUCUGUCAAGUCGGAUGUGAAAUCCCCGGGCUCAA
Molecule: ribosomal RNA, 622 nt
Filed under: Salmonella enterica
Lineage: Bacteria; Pseudomonadati; Pseudomonadota; Gammaproteobacteria; Enterobacterales; Enterobacteriaceae
Also listed under: 1 other name
Description: bacterial SSU rRNA
Rfam family: Bacterial small subunit ribosomal RNA
Source: RNAcentral